RNAcentral lists this ribosomal RNA (899 nucleotides) under Jaydia lineata (Indian perch). Its description in RNAcentral is "partial 16S rRNA". The stretch from base 191 to 899 matches the Rfam family "Bacterial large subunit ribosomal RNA", at positions 568 to 1719 of the family's 2925-position model. The record is from RNAcentral. Lineage: Eukaryota; Metazoa; Chordata; Actinopteri; Kurtiformes; Apogonidae.
CGCCCAAUAGCUAGCUCAACCCAUCAAACACAACAACUAACUAUUUCUACCCCCUAAUAAACUAAAGACUUAUAAACAAAUCAUUUUACCACCUAAGUAUGGGCGACAGAAAAGGACCACUCGGAGCAAUAGCAACAGUACCGCAAGGGAACGCUGAAAGAGAGAUGAAAUAGAUCAGUAAAGCAUUGAAAAGCAGAGUUUAACCCUCGUACCUUUUGCAUCAUGAUUUAGCAAGAAGACAUCAAGCAAAGAGGACUUUAGUUUGAUACCCCGAAACCAAGUGAGCUACUCCAAGACAGCCUUAUAGGGCGAACCCGUCUCUGUGGCAAAAGAGUGGGGAGAGCUUUGAGUAGAGGUGACAGACCUACCGAACUUGGUUAUAGCUGGUUGUCCAGGAAUUGAACAGGAGUUCAGCCUUUUGCCCUCUUUCCUCACUGCUGGUUACACUUUUAAGCCCCCAAGAGGACAAAAGAGUUAGUCAAAGGGGGUACAGCCCCUUUGAAAAAGAUACAACUUUCCCAGAAGGGUUAAGAUCAUAACAUUAAUUAAGGGGUAGUGUUGUAGUUGGCCUAAAGGCAGCCACCCACACAGAAAGCGUUAAAGCUCAUACACCUCCCUUCCCCAAUUAUCCGGACCACUACAUCUUACCCCCCUACAUAUACUGGACCUAUUCCAUACACAUAUGGAAGAGAUUAUGCUAAUAUGAGUAAUAAGAGACCAAGACUCUCUCCUCGCACAAGUGUACAUCGGAACGAACCCACACCGAAAAUUAACGUCCCCAAAGAAGAGGGAAUUGGAACAUAAUGGCCCGGCCACAAGAAAAACAUCCACCCCAAACCGUUAACCUCACACCAGAGUGCAUACAAGGAAAGACUAAAAGAAAAAGAAGGAACUCGGCA